Molecule: long non-coding RNA, 1762 nt
Filed under: Mus musculus (house mouse)
Lineage: Eukaryota; Metazoa; Chordata; Mammalia; Rodentia; Muridae
Description: long non-coding RNA chr5:121622370-121624132
Source: RNAcentral
AACAGGCUCCUGUGUAGGCUAAUGCUGUAUUUGGACCAGGUCUGCGGGGGUCCUUUCUCCUAGCUCUCCUCCUUCAUCUACCUCCAUGCACCAGCAUGGUCCAGGGCUGACCACAUGGUGGAAGUUCACCUCUCUCCUGGGGCCUUUUCUGGUUUGCAAUAGAUGACUGACCCUCUAGAGUUCAAACAGAACAGUAGCAGUCAUCAUUGUCCAAGAGCUGAGCCUUCCCACAGUUUGCCAAACAAGGAGAGACAGGUAGAUUCCAGUGUCACCUCAGGGUGACCCCUGUCAUCUCUGAAGCCUCCCACCUUAUUUCCGGCCACAUCCAUGAGGUGAGCAGCUUUCAGCACCAGCAGCCGGGCCUGCUCGAUCUCCACACGUGACCGGGCAAUGUCUGCCAGGAUGGUGCCCUGCUCCACAAGGGGCUUCCCGAAGGCCGUGCGGGACAUCACCUACAGACACCAGAGGGACAAGGCUGAGAAGGGAGGCCUAGAGAGGCCCCGGGAGGCUCAGAGUGGAUGACUGCAGAGGAGCCAGGCACACAGGACAAGAGAGAGCAGAUGUGAGAACCGCCUGUCUGACAGACAGCUAACUGGGGUUGAGGGUCUGAGGUAGGCAAUGCAGUGCUCACUACAGAUGACACACCAAUAGAGAAUGUCCUGCAGAGGCUGAUGGCUGAUUACAGCUACAGUGAUUCUGGAGAGCUGGGAAUAGUACAGGCCCAGAGCCUUGAAUCUUGGGCUAUCACUCACAGGACCUCAGGAACCAUUUAUUGCCCACUUCUGUCAUGACAACAAACCUUAUGACUGAGGGAAAUCCGUCUGGAAUGUGAAGAUCGCUACCUUCCACCAACCCAAGAGCUGAGAAGGUUAUGAGACAGUGCCAGAGACAGACAGCAGAGAUGUCUCUGCCUCGUCUUCUUGAAGCACCAUCAACACAACUGAAAGUGUUAUAUGACUUUCUCCUUUGUUGCUAUACAAACUGCAUGAAGGUGGGUGUGGUAGCACAGAUGCUUAAUCCCCAAGGCAGAGGCAGGUGGAUGUCUAUGAGUUAUAUGCUAUGUGUGUGUGUGUGUGAUUCAUAGUUAGAUCAUGUCUUCCAAGAAAACAGAGCCAGGCAGUUGUGGCAUUUGCCUUUAAUCCUCGCACUUGAGAGGCAGAGACAGAGGCAGCGGGAUCUCUGUGAGUUUAAGACCAGGCUGGUUUAUAAAGCAAGUUAGUUCCAGGACAGCCAGGAAAAACAUGAGAAAAACCAUGUGUUUAAAAACACUCUCUCUCUCUCUCUCUCUCUCUCUCUCCUCUCUCUCUCUCCCUCUCCCUCCCUGUCUCUCCCUGUCUCUCUCUGUCUCUGUCUCUCUCACACACACACAAAAUGGACUUUUGAGAUGACUCAGCAGGUAAGAGCACUAACUGCUCUUCCAAAGGUCCUGAGUGCAAAUUCCAGCAACCACAUGGUGGCUCAAAACCACCCAUAAUGAGAUCUGACGCCCUCUUCUGGUGCAUCUGAAGUCAGCUUAGAAAGGGCUGAGAGUUGGGCCUGGAGAGAUGGUUCAGUGGUUAACACCACUGACUGCUUUUCCAAAGGUUCUGAGUUCAAUUCCCAGAAAUCACAUGGUGGGUCAUGCAAUCUCUAAUGACAUCUGAUGCCCUCUUCUGGUGUGUCUGAAGACAGCAACAAUGUAGUCAAUAAGUUAAAUAAAUAAAUAAAUAAAUAAAUAAAUAAAUAAAUAAAUAAAUCUUUAUUUAAAAAUAGGGUCUGAGAG